UAAGUAGUCCCUCCGUCCGAAAAUUCUUGUAUUAGAUUUGUCUAAAUACGGAUGUAUCAAGUCACAUUUUAGUAUUAGAUACAUCUGUAUCUAGACAAAUAUAAGACAAGAAUUUUGGGACGGAGGGAGUAGCAC
Non-coding RNA from Triticum urartu, 135 nucleotides. Lineage: Eukaryota; Viridiplantae; Streptophyta; Magnoliopsida; Poales; Poaceae. The record is from Rfam.